AGAGUUUGAUCCUGGCUCAGGAUGAACCCUUUCGAGAGGCUUAACACAUGCAAGUCGAGGGGCAGCACAGGUAGCAAUACCGGGUGGCGACCGGCGCACGGGUGAGUAACGCGUAUGCAACUUGCCUAUCAGAGGGGGAUAACCCGGCGAAAGUCGGACUAAUACCGCAUGAAGCAGGGGCCCCGCAUGGGGAUAUUUGCUAAAGAUUCAUCGCUGAUAGAUAGGCAUGCGUUCCAUUAGGCAGUUGGCGGGGUAACGGCCCACCAAACCGACGAUGGAUAGGGGUUCUGAGAGGAAGGUCCCCCACAUUGGUACUGAGACACGGACCAAACUCCUACGGGAGGCAGCAGUGAGGAAUAUUGGUCAAUGGGCGUAAGCCUGAACCAGCCAAGUCGCGUGAGGGAUGAAGGUUCUAUGGAUCGUAAACCUCUUUUAUAAGGGAAUAAAGUGCGGGACGUGUCCCGUUUUGUAUGUACCUUAUGAAUAAGGAUCGGCUAACUCCGUGCCAGCAGCCGCGGUAAUACGGAGGAUCCGAGCGUUAUCCGGAUUUAUUGGGUUUAAAGGGUGCGUAGGCGGCCUUUUAAGUCAGCGGUGAAAGUCUGUGGCUCAACCAUAGAAUUGCCGUUGAAACUGGGGGGCUUGAGUAUGUUUGAGGCAGGCGGAAUGCGUGGUGUAGCGGUGAAAUGCAUAGAUAUCACGCAGAACCCCGAUUGCGAAGGCAGCCUGCCAAGCCAUUACUGACGCUGAUGCACGAAAGCGUGGGGAUCAAACAGGAUUAGAUACCCUGGUAGUCCACGCAGUAAACG
Molecule: ribosomal RNA, 806 nt
Filed under: uncultured bacterium
Lineage: Bacteria
Description: bacterial SSU rRNA
Rfam family: Bacterial small subunit ribosomal RNA
Source: RNAcentral